AGGAAUAUUGGUCAAUGGGCGAGAGCCUGAACCAGCCAAGUAGCGUGAAGGAUGACUGCCCUAUGGGUUGUAAACUUCUUUUAUAAAGGAAUAAAGUCGGGUAUGGAUACCCGUUUGCAUGUACUUUAUGAAUAAGGAUCGGCUAACUCCGUGCCAGCAGCCGCGGUAAUACGGAGGAUCCGAGCGUUAUCCGGAUUUAUUGGGUUUAAAGGGAGCGUAGAUGGAUAUUUAAGUCAGUUGUGAAAGUUUGCGGCUCAACCGUAAAAUUGCAGUUGAUACUGGAUAUCUUGAGUGCAGUUGAGGCAGGCGGAAUUCGUGGUGUAGCGGUGAAAUGCUUAGAUAUCACGAAGAACUCCGAUUGCGAAGGCAGCCUGCUAAGCUGCAACUGACAUUGAGGCUCGAAAGUGUGGGUAUCAAACAGGAUUAGAUACCCUGGUAGUCCACACGGUAAACGAUGAAUACUCGCUGUUUGCGAUAUACUGCAAGCGGCCAAGCGAAAGCGUUAAGUAUUCCACCUGGGGAGUACGCCGGCAACGGUGAAACUCAAAGGAAUUGACGGGGGCCCGCACAAGCGGAGGAACAUGUGGUUUAAUUCGAUGAUACGCGAGGAACCUUACCCGGGCUUAAAUUGCAGAUGAAUUACGGUGAAAGCCGUAAGCCGCAAGGCAUCUGUGAAGGUGCUGCAUGGUUGUCGUCAGCUCGUGCCGUGAGGUGUCGGCUUAAGUGCCAUAACGAGCGCAACCCUUGUUGUCAGUUACUAACAGGUUUUGCUGAGGACUCUGACAAGACUGCCAUCGUAAGAUGUGAGGAAGGUGGGGAUGACGUCAAAUCAGCACGGCCCUUACGUCCGGGGCUACACACGUGUUACAAUGGGGGGUACAGCAGGCAGCUACCGGGCGACCGGAUGCCAAUCCCGAAAGCCUCUCUCAGUUCGGACUGGAGUCUGCAACCCGACUCCACGAAGCUGGAUUCGCUAGUAAUCGCGCAUCAGCCACGGCGCGGUGAAUACGUUCCCG
RNAcentral lists this ribosomal RNA (1016 nucleotides) under uncultured bacterium. RNAcentral's name for it is "bacterial SSU rRNA". It matches the Rfam family "Bacterial small subunit ribosomal RNA", at positions 357 to 1376 of the family's 1533-position model. The record is from RNAcentral.